UUUGCUGUAAAAACUCACACAUUGCUCACGGGGAGCCUCUGGUGGUCACAAUGUAAAAUGCAUAUUUAAAAUAUUACACUUACUUUAUUUGUUUGUGUCCGUCUUUAGUUAUUGACUCAAAUGGGGAGAAUAAAACAUGUAGUUUAUCACCAGACUUUGUCUUAGAACUACUUCAGAAGCUGCUUUCAUCUUCUGAUUAGUUGUGUUUACGACAGUUAAAAACCAUGGCAACCGGCGCAGAGUCUGCGCAUGCUCAGAUGGUUCUAGCUGUGGUAGACACGUGUGUUGUCUGUCGUCUCCAUCCGUGCCUGCUUCAUACAGUCUACUUAAAUAUUCCCUGCUAGGUCCGUCGCAGUAGUCUGUACCUUACAGACGAUGCAAACAGAGCCAUUAUGCCUGAGCCAGCAGGACAUUUUUCCACCUUGUAUAUGUCCAACCGCGGCCAUUACGAGGUCCACGGAGAGCCAGAGCAAAGUCAGUCACCUGCAGGCAGAGCACCAGCACCUUCACCCACUCCUCCGCCCACUUUCCUCUUCAGCUUCAUGCACCAAGCCUCAUCUUCUUCUACUGGGAGUGCAGCUUCACAUGGAGCUCCACGAGCUCGUGGAAGGUUUCCUCAAAAAUCAUUUCACAGAAGGUCCCAAGCAGAAGAGGUCAUUUCUAAUAUGGACCACCUGAAAAAAGCUGCAGAGAGCCUCCCAGACAUCACUUCAUCUGUAAACCAGCUGUUUGAGCUUGCAAAGGCCAAAAGCGCAGUGGCAAAAUCUCUAACUAUGACUCCUAUAAAGGACGCC
RNAcentral lists this long non-coding RNA (794 nucleotides) under Gouania willdenowi (blunt-snouted clingfish). RNAcentral describes it as "lncRNA (ENSGWIG00000013797.1)". The record is from RNAcentral. Lineage: Eukaryota; Metazoa; Chordata; Actinopteri; Blenniiformes; Gobiesocidae.